GAAUCUGUGAACGGCUCAUUAUAAAUCGUGUACGAAAUCGAGCGCUGCGGGGCGUAACCACUGUAACUCGGUGGCUAAAACCUUGAAGGGCUUUUUGUUAAGCAAAAUCCUUAGGGGCACUCGAGACGGCACGAAAUCCAUCAGCUAGACCGUCGGGUAGAGGCCGACGGUGGCAAUCACGGGUAACGGGGGAUUAGGGUUCGAUUCCGGAGAGGGAGCCUGAGAAACGGCUACCACAUCUAAGGAUGGCAGCAGGCGCGUAAAUUACCCACUCUUUAGGAAGGAGGGUAGUCACUGAGCGUGGCGGGCGCAUUAUGUGUCUUCGCAAUGGAUUACAUUUUAAAGAUGUUUUCGCAUCACGGGAGGGCAAGUCUGGUGCCAGCAGCCGCGGUAAUUCCAGCUCCUGUAGAGUAUACUGGUGUUGCUGCAGUUGAAGAGCCCGUAGCAUGGGCUCCCGCUUGUGGUGAACGGGUCUUGUUCAUCGAGGCCUUGUCCACAAUAUCGGGAGCACUAUACAAGCGACGCGAGUCAGCCGAAUGCAGAGGCGAGAGGUGAAAUUCUUGGACCCUCUGUGGGCGAACUAGAGCGAAGGCAGGUGGCUGUGUCGUGUUGGUUUGCCAAGGGCGAAGGUUGGGGUAUCGAAGAUGAUUAGAUACCAUCGUAGUCCCAACAUUAAACGAUGCCAUCCAUUCGUGUGCCGGACAACCGGUGCGCGAUCAGGAGAAAUCUGAGACUUUGGGUCCUGGGGGGAGUAUGGUCGCAAGACUGAAACUUAAAGGAAUUGACGGAAGGGCACCACCAGGAGUGGAGCUUGCGGCUUAAUUCGACUCAACGCGAGGAACCUUACCAGGCCAGGACAUUUCCGUGAGAGACACAUGAGGAUUUGUAUCUUGAUUCUAUGGGUGGUGGUGCAUGGCCGUUCUUAGUCGGUGGGUCGACCUGUCUGGUUUAUUCCGAUAACGGACGAGACCUUGGGAGCUGACCAAUCGAUACAGCCUACUGCGGGAGCUAAUCUCGAGGGAGGUCAGGGUUAAAACAGGUCCGUGAUGCCCUUAGAUGGCCUGGGAAGCACGUGUGCUACAGUCUGCACGCCAACGUCUUUGCGCUUGCGCUGCCUGAACGUGUGGAUCGUUGGGAUCGGGAUGGGUAGACAUCCCGUGAACUUGGAAUUCCUUGUAAUCGCGUCUCACCAUGGCGCGGUGAAUAGGUCCCUGCCCUUUGAACACACCGCCCGUCGCUUCAACCGAUUGGGUGGGUCGACGAGUGCUUCGACGAAAAGUUGUAGUGCGAGUCUACCCAUCUAGAGGAUGAAGAAGUCGUAACAAGGUAACC
This 1332-nucleotide ribosomal RNA is filed under the name uncultured eukaryote. RNAcentral describes it as "partial small subunit ribosomal RNA". It matches the Rfam family "Eukaryotic small subunit ribosomal RNA". The record is from RNAcentral.